CGGCGGGGUCCCAGCCCCUCGCCGGCUUGCUGUAGAGGCAGGCGCCGGGUGUGUCGCGGCAGUGCAGCGGCCGCGAAGGGGUGUUUUGCUGUAUGUCAUAUUCCUCGUUUCGCCAGAGCGGGGGUCCCGAGCUUCGGGCGCGGGACGCGGGGGUGCUCCGAGGCUGCGAGUGGAGGCGUGACGUGACGUCCCUGGCAAGAGGCGCGCGGAGUCAGGCCUUACUUAGAACGUGUUCCCGCCGCACAGCUACCAGCGGGCGCGACCGCUACCCACGCAUGGUGCGGUCGAGUAAACGGCACCGCCUGGCGAGCGAGAGACGCAAAGGGACAUAGCCCCCUAGGAGCUGAGCUCUUCGGGGGUAAAGCGUUCUCACGUUGAUGAGACCAGGAGGCGGCGCACGCCUGGCUCCGCGGCCCAGGGGUUGCAGGUGCCCCAGGGUUCGCGGGGCGCAGACGCCGCAGAGGGCGACGCCCUGCCCGGGUCCCGCGCGGACCCGGGGGACGCAGGGUCUGACACGGAGUGCGGAGGGGCCCCAGACACGCAGUCCAUGUCCCUUGAAACCAGAGGCACGCGCGGCCACGCGCUAGGCCUUUCCCUUAAGCCUGUGACCAAGAUCUCCGGGACUCCCAGCGUUGGGACGGGCGCGCUGGCCCACGCCCAAGCGGGAGGAUCGCUUGCGCCCAGGAGAUUGAGACCAGCCUGAGCACCAAAGCGAGACCUCGUCUCUACAAAAAAUAAGACUCAAGAAGACACCCAGGGUGAAUCGCCCGUCUGCAGCCAGCCUCCCGAGCACCGUGGCCGCGUCUGACAACUGACCUCUGUGUCUGGGUGUCCCUGUCCUCAGAGGGACACGGGACCUCAGAAAGGACCACAGCCCGGCGGCAGGCAUGAUGGUGGGAAAGCUAGUUAGGACAGAAUACACAAAAGAAUUUCUCAAAAAACAGUAAACGAACAGCAACCCGAUAGAAAAACGAGGAAAGAAUAUGAAUAAGCAGCUCCAGAAGAGGAAAUUCAGGUGGCCGGUAAACACAUGAAAAAGAUGCUCAUCUUCACUGGUCACCAGGAAAAUGUGUGAGUGUAGCCCUUGACACCAAUCAGAGUAAGUCUGGGGACACCAGGGAGUGGGGAUUUGGCACCAGUCGUGCAGCUGAAGGUCGGAAUACUCCAGUGUGGGAUCCGCCUUCCAGUACCUGCCGGAGAAACUGCACAUGUCCGCAGGGAGAUGGAAAGACCUUGUUUCCUUCGGGGAUUUGUACUUCUCUGGAAGAAGAGCCGAACGGCUUCAGUGGAGCCUGUUGUCUGUUGUGAAGUGUAGCAGUUUAACCCAAACCUGCAAGCAACCCAAGUACUCAUCAGCAGGUGAAUAAACAAACUGGCACAUCCACACUGCGGAACACGGCUCAACCCCCAGGAGGACCCGGCGCGGAGCCCGGCUCAACCCUGAAGAGGAUUUCACUACUGACACACACGACAUCACAGGUGACUCUGGGAGCAAUCAGGUUCAGUGAGAGAAGCCGGACAAAAAAGAGUGCGUACCUUAUGACUCCACUUACAUAAAAUCCUAGAAAAUACAAACACCAGGCAGGCGCGGUGGCUCACCGCUGUAAUCCCCGCACUUCGGGAGGCCGAGGCAGGCACAUCACUUGAAGUCAGGAAUAUGAGACCCGCCUGGCCAACAUGGCAAAACCCCAUCUCUACUAAAAAUACAAAAAUUACCCUGGCGUGGUGGCACACGCCUGUAGUCCCAGCUACUCGGGAGGCUGAGGCAACCUGGGAGGCAGAGAUUUCAGUGAGCUGAGAUCACACCACGGCACUCCAGCCUGGGUGACAGAGACUCCAUCUCAAAAAAUAAAAAUAAAAAACAUAAAUAGCAACAGAGAGCAAAUCAGCAGUCGCUUGGGAAAUAAGGGGUAGGGAUGGGUGAGAGGGAGGGAUUACCAGGUACACGUGCAGCCUGGAUAGUGCUGAGGGCUUCACGACGUAGACGCAUCAGCCUCAUCAAAUUACACACUCUACCUAUGUGCGGUUUGCCUUGUGUCAACUGUGUAUCCAUAAAGCUAUCAACAAAAACUGCCUGCAAACUAUUUUUAACUGACAACUUUUUUUUUUUUUUGGGAUGGAGUCUCGCUCUGUUGCCCAGGCUGGAGUGCACUGGCGCGAUCUUGGCUCACUGCAACCUACGCCUCCUGGGUUCAAGCGAUCCUCCUGCCUCAGCCUCCUGAGUAGCUGGGACUACAGGUGUCCACCACCACGCCCGACUAAUUUUUGUAUUGUUAGUAGAGAUGGAGUUUCACCAUGUUGGUCAGGCUGGUCGCGAACUCCUGACCUCAAGUGAUCCACCGCCUUGGCCUCCAAAAGUGCUGGAAUUAUAGGUAUGAGCCACUGCACCUGGCCAGACAACUGU
RNAcentral lists this long non-coding RNA (2404 nucleotides) under Homo sapiens (human). RNAcentral describes it as "HSALNT0226178". Lineage: Eukaryota; Metazoa; Chordata; Mammalia; Primates; Hominidae. The record is from RNAcentral.